This 465-nucleotide ribosomal RNA is filed under the name Vreelandella stevensii. RNAcentral describes it as "partial 16S ribosomal RNA". It matches the Rfam family "Bacterial small subunit ribosomal RNA", at positions 338 to 795 of the family's 1533-position model. The record is from RNAcentral. Lineage: Bacteria; Pseudomonadati; Pseudomonadota; Gammaproteobacteria; Oceanospirillales; Halomonadaceae.
CCUACGGGUGGCUGCAGUGGGGAAUAUUGGACAAUGGGCGAAAGCCUGAUCCAGCCAUGCCGCGUGUGUGAAGAAGGCCUUCGGGUUGUAAAGCACUUUCAGUGGGGAAGAAAGCCUUGGGGCUAAUACCCUCGAGGAAGGACAUCACCCACAGAAGAAGCACCGGCUAACUCCGUGCCAGCAGCCGCGGUAAUACGGAGGGUGCGAGCGUUAAUCGGAAUUACUGGGCGUAAAGCGCGCGUAGGCGGUCUGAUAAGCCGGUUGUGAAAGCCCCGGGCUCAACCUGGGAACGGCAUCCGGAACUGUCAGGCUAGAGUGCAGGAGAGGAAGGUAGAAUUCCCGGUGUAGCGGUGAAAUGCGUAGAGAUCGGGAGGAAUACCAGUGGCGAAGGCGGCCUUCUGGACUGACACUGACACUGAGGUGCGAAAGCGUGGGUAGCAAACAGGAUUAGAUACCCUGGUAGUC